RNAcentral lists this unclassified non-coding RNA (336 nucleotides) under soil metagenome. RNAcentral describes it as "partial contains 5.8S ribosomal RNA, internal transcribed spacer 2, and large subunit ribosomal RNA". The stretch from base 1 to 120 matches the Rfam family "5.8S ribosomal RNA", at positions 35 to 154 of the family's 154-position model. The record is from RNAcentral.
GAUGAAGAACGCAGCGAAAUGCGAUAAGUAAUGUGAAUUGCAGAAUUCCGUGAAUCAUCGAAUCUUUGAACGCACAUUGCGCCCCCUGGUAUUCCGGGGGGCAUGCCUGUCCGAGCGUCAUUACAACCUUCAAGCGCGGCUUGUGUGUUGGGUCUCGUCCCCCGUGGACGGGCCCGAAAGGCAGUGGCGGCGUCCCGACAUGGUGCCCGAGCGUAUGGGAAUCCUCUUCCGCUCGAAUCGGCCCAUGCGGCGCUGGUCGUAACCAAAUUUUUUACCGGUUGACCUCGGAUCAGGUAGGGAUACCCGCUGAACUUAAGCAUAUCAAUAAGCGGAGGA